AGCCGCCGCGGUAAUACGUAGGGUGCGAGCGUUAAUCGGAAUUACUGGGCGUAAAGCGUGCGCAGGCGGUUUUGUAAGACAGGCGUGAAAUCCCCGGGCUCAACCUGGGAAUGGCGCUUGUGACUGCAAAGCUAGAGUGCGGCAGAGGGGGAUGGAAUUCCGCGUGUAGCAGUGAAAUGCGUAGAUAUGCGGAGGAACACCGAUGGCGAAGGCAAUCCCCUGGGCCUGCACUGACGCUCAUGCACGAAAGCGUGGGGAGCAAACAGGAUUAGAUACCCCUGUAGUCCCUGUCUCUUAUACA
Molecule: ribosomal RNA, 301 nt
Filed under: uncultured bacterium
Lineage: Bacteria
Description: partial 16S ribosomal RNA
Rfam family: Bacterial small subunit ribosomal RNA
Source: RNAcentral